AUGGCUCACACUCAAGACCUGCAACAUGCAGGAUCUGUGGUCGUAAGCUAGUAGGUACACUGUGACCCAUUAUAAAUCCAACAUAGGCCUUCUGAAAGCAACUUGGAAGGAGGAUCGGUGAGAAGCUUAAAUACAUUUAAUCAAGCAUUCUUGUCUGCUAACUUCAAAAGGGAGCCAAACAUGGAGGACAUUUGUGGAGAUUCAGCAUGCAGGAGGCUUAAGAUAUCUUAUGACAGUUUGCUUGAGUAUGUAGCAUUCCUAAAUGUUAGGAGUAUCUAAUGAAGUCUGAAGAAGCCUGGAGGAAAAAUGGAUGCUACCUUAAUUUAAUCACCAACAAGGUUCAGAUCAACAGAUUGAAAGAUUGGUUGCAAAGACCAGAUACAGAACAGAAGAUGAAAACUGCACAAAGAGAACACACAUUUGAAUUGCUGUGCAGGUGUUUGCUAUUUAAUGUUCCUUUCAGUCUGAAUCUGUUUGUAUCUACCUGCCUACAGAUGCUUUAA
This 503-nucleotide long non-coding RNA is filed under the name Pan troglodytes (chimpanzee). RNAcentral describes it as "lncRNA (ENSPTRG00000053321.1)". Lineage: Eukaryota; Metazoa; Chordata; Mammalia; Primates; Hominidae. The record is from RNAcentral.